GGAGCAGGCGUGAUUGGUUACGCUGUUCGCUUUGUAAGCGGAUGAUCAUGUGUUCGAUUCUCAUCUGCUCCU
This 72-nucleotide transfer RNA is filed under the name Culex quinquefasciatus (southern house mosquito). It matches the Rfam family "tRNA". From Rfam's summary of the family: Transfer RNA (tRNA) molecules are approximately 80 nucleotides in length. Lineage: Eukaryota; Metazoa; Arthropoda; Insecta; Diptera; Culicidae. The record is from Rfam by way of RNAcentral.